GUCGAGAAUCUUCGGCAAUGGGCGCAAGCCUGACCGAGCGACGCCGCGUGGAGGACGAAGGCCUUCGGGUUGUAAACUCCUGUCGAGGGGGAGGAAGCCGCAAGGUUGACCGAUCCCUGGAGGAAGGACGGGCUAAGUUCGUGCCAGCAGCCGCGGUAAGACGAACCGUCCGAACGUUAUUCGGAAUUACUGGGCUUAAAGCGCGUGUAGGCGGCUGGGCACGUCGGACGCUGAAAUCCCCCGGCUCAACCGGGGAAGUGGCGCCGAUACGGCUUGGCUGGAGGGGGGUAGGGGGGCCUGGAACUUCCGGUGGAGCGGUGAAAUGCGUUGAGAUCGGAAGGAACGCCCGUGGCGAAAGCGAGGCCCUGGACCCUUACUGACGCUGAGACGCGAAAGCCAGGGGAGCGAACGGG
RNAcentral lists this ribosomal RNA (413 nucleotides) under uncultured Singulisphaera sp. RNAcentral describes it as "bacterial SSU rRNA". It matches the Rfam family "Bacterial small subunit ribosomal RNA", at positions 354 to 776 of the family's 1533-position model. The record is from RNAcentral. Lineage: Bacteria; Pseudomonadati; Planctomycetota; Planctomycetia; Isosphaerales; Isosphaeraceae.